GAUGAAGAACGCAGCGAAAUGCGAUAAGUAAUGUGAAUUGCAGAAUUCAGUGAAUCAUCGAAUCUUUGAACGCACAUUGCGCCCCUUGGUAUUCCGAGGGGCAUGCCUGUUCGAGCGUCAUUAUAACCCCUCAAGCUCAGCUUGGUGUUGGGGCCUGCUGCACUGGCAGCCCUUAAAAUCAGUGGCGGCGCCAUCUGGCUCUAAGCGUAGUAAUUCUUCUCGCUAUGGAGUCCUGGUGGAUGCUUGCCAUCUACCCCCAAUUUUUCUAUGGUUGACCUCGGAUCAGGUAGGGAUACCCGCUGAACUUAAGCAUAUCAAAGCGGAGGA
Molecule: unclassified non-coding RNA, 327 nt
Filed under: soil metagenome
Description: partial contains 5.8S ribosomal RNA, internal transcribed spacer 2, and large subunit ribosomal RNA
Rfam family: 5.8S ribosomal RNA (bases 1-120)
Source: RNAcentral